This is a non-coding RNA of Asterophora parasitica, 87 nucleotides long. NCBI's taxonomy places the organism in Eukaryota, Fungi, Basidiomycota, Agaricomycetes, Agaricales, Lyophyllaceae. The record is from the annotation of a GenBank genome assembly.
GCCGUCGUAGUACAAUGGUAGUACAUUGCUUUCCUAGCUCAAUGACCUCCAAGGCAAAGGUUGUGGGUUCGAGCCCCAUCGUCGGUU